RNAcentral lists this ribosomal RNA (571 nucleotides) under Curtobacterium sp. AsA7.1. RNAcentral's name for it is "bacterial SSU rRNA". It matches the Rfam family "Bacterial small subunit ribosomal RNA", at positions 335 to 916 of the family's 1533-position model. Lineage: Bacteria; Bacillati; Actinomycetota; Actinomycetes; Micrococcales; Microbacteriaceae. The record is from RNAcentral.
ACUCCUACGGGAGGCAGCAGUGGGGAAUAUUGCACAAUGGGCGAAAGCCUGAUGCAGCAACGCCGCGUGAGGGAUGACGGCCUUCGGGUUGUAAACCUCUUUUAGUAGGGAAGAAGCGAAAGUGACGGUACCUGCAGAAAAAGCACCGGCUAACUACGUGCCAGCAGCCGCGGUAAUACGUAGGGUGCAAGCGUUGUCCGGAAUUAUUGGGCGUAAAGAGCUCGUAGGCGGUUUGUCGCGUCUGCUGUGAAAUCCCGAGGCUCAACCUCGGGCUUGCAGUGGGUACGGGCAGACUAGAGUGCGGUAGGGGAGAUUGGAAUUCCUGGUGUAGCGGUGGAAUGCGCAGAUAUCAGGAGGAACACCGAUGGCGAAGGCAGAUCUCUGGGCCGUAACUGACGCUGAGGAGCGAAAGCGUGGGGAGCGAACAGGAUUAGAUACCCUGGUAGUCCACGCCGUAAACGUUGGGCGCUAGAUGUAGGGACCUUUCCACGGUUUCUGUGUCGUAGCUAACGCAUUAAGCGCCCCGCCUGGGGAGUACGGCCGCAAGGCUAAAACUCAAAGGAAUUGACGG